AAUCAAUUUUACUUAAGAUUGAACCUAAGUUGAUUAACUUAGCAAAUAGAGAACCUGGACCCACAGCCCAGGGAAUGUUAUUUGGAGAGUCCUUUGUCAAGGACAUCGGGGCUUUUGUCAAAACUUUUACCACUUUAGAUAAGGCUCAGGCCAACCUUAAGAGAGUGUUUAACCCCAAGGUUUUGCACGGGCCGGGAGAUCUAGGAGCCGUCCACCCGGCCGAGUCUAUCGGGGCCCCUCCAGGGUCCAUAGAGGCUCCUUCGGAACGCCCCGCCCAUACCAGGAGUUCCGGCCGUCGCCCUUCUUUCCGUCCAGGGGACGCCCAUGGCCUUCUAGGGGAAGCCGCAUGCAAUCUACUUACAGGCGACCUUACGGUAAGUGCAAUGUCUCUCAUUCCUCCACAUCUACACAUAGGGGGCAGGCUCGCGCUGUUUGCGCAUGCAUGGGACGAGCUCACAAAAGACGCUUGGGUGUUACAGACUGUCAGAGGUUUCUAUCUCGACCUUAUAUCUACCCCAUUCCAAAUCCAUGUCCCAAGAGAACUGACACUGGCCCCAGACCAAACCAAACUCAUAACAAAGGAGAUUACAGAUCUCCAUACCAAACGGGCAAUCCAAGAGGUCCCAUACGAUACACCAGGUUUUACCAGCAACCUAUUUUUGGUAGCCAAAAAAGGCGGAGGUAUGCGGCCAGUCAUAAACUUAAAGGAACUCAAUGCGUUCCUCGCAUACCAACACUUCAAAAUGGAAGGCAUUCAUUGCCUCAGGGAUUUACUACAACAGGGAGAUUGGAUGGUCAAAUUUGACCUCAAGGACGCGUACCUCACCGUCCCUAUUGCGGAGGCACACUGGGACCUCUUGCAUUUCACAUGGCAAGGGCGACGCUGGAGAUUUACAUGUCUGCCCUUCGGUCUGUCGUCAGCGCCCUGGUGCUUCACGAAACUCAUGAAGCCUGUGGUAGCCUUUCUCAGAGCACGAGGAGUUCGUCUGAUCAUAUAUCUGGACGAUAUUUUAAUCAUGGCAUCCUCACAAGACCAAGUACUGCUCCACCUACAGUGGACCAUCACGUUACUCGAGACUCUGGGUUUUUUGAUAAAUUGGGAAAAAUCCAUAACCAAUCCAGUCCAAAAGAUAGAGUUCCUAGGAUUCCAGAUCGACGCAAUCUCACAAUUCCUACUCCUUCCGGAAACAAAAUUGAAGGCCAUCAAAAAAGAGAUCAGGCGCACAUUACGAGCUCAAUCUCUCUCUCUUUGACAACUAGCUCGAGUAUUAGGACUACUGGCUUCCUCGAUACAAGCCAUCUUCCCAGGGCCUCUACACUAUCGUGCCCUACAACGGCUAAAAGGUUCUCACCUCAGGUCCGGCCGUUCAUACGAAUCCGCACUAGUACUGGAUGUAGAAUCACGGGAGGAGCUGAGGUGGUGGCUAGACCAUAUGGAGGCGUGGAACGGCCGAGCAAUAUUCGGAACCAGCCCGGACCUGAUUAUAGAAUCGGAUGCAAGCCUCCAUGGCUGGGGCGCGCGUUGUGGCAACAUCUCCACCGGUGGCAGAUGGUCCAUGGAGGAAUCCACAAUGCACAUAAAUUGCCUGGAACUUCUGGCAGGAUCGUUCGCCAUCCGCAGUCUCUCCCCUACGGUAGGGAGAUGUUGUAUACUGCUCCGUAUGGACAACAUCUCGGCAGUCCGUUGUAUCAAUCAUCUAGGAGGCACCAAAUCCAAACGACUAGCAAACCUAGCGAAAGAAUUUUGGCAGUUUUGACUUCAGAAUGAGAUUGCGGUGACAGCGGAACACAUUCCGGGCUUGGACAACGUACAAGCGGACUGGAAUUCCAGAUAUCUGCGAGAUCCGGGAGACUGGCGUCUUCUCCGCUCUACCUUUUGCCAAAUAGACGAAUUGUGGGGACCACUGGACGUAGACCUUUUUGCAUCCAGACUGAACAGUCAUCUGCCUCGAUACUUCAGUUGGCGACCAGAUCCAACAGCCUCGGGGACGGAUGCUUUCCUGCAGACGUGGCCGAAGUCUCGGCAUUACGCAUUUCCCCCUUUCAAUCUCAUUUCCAGGACACUAUCAUACCUAUGCACACAGGACUGUUCACUAGUGAUAGUGGUUCCACUAUGGCACGCUCAGCCGUGGUUUCCUCGUCUACUAGAAAUGGCAAUCGACUCUCCACGAGUAAUACCAUCAAAACCAGACUUGCUAUUGGACCCAGAAGGGAAUCCGCACAACCUAAUCAAUCAGGGCCUGCUGCAACUCACGGUCUGGUUGAUUUCCGGAGUCCCUGGACAUUCACAGACAUUCCACAGACAGUUACAAGACUCAUGGACAACUCCUGGGCUCCAGGGACCAGAGCGGCCUAUAACUCUGCUUGGCGAGUGUGGGCUAGCUGGUGCAUGGAACGGUCAGUGGAUCCGGUUUCAGCACCUCUGAAAGAAG
Pelobates cultripes (western spadefoot toad) is the source of this 2432-nucleotide non-coding RNA. Lineage: Eukaryota; Metazoa; Chordata; Amphibia; Anura; Pelobatidae. The record is from the annotation of a GenBank genome assembly.